UACGAACCGUACGAACGUUAUUCGGAAUCACUGGGCUUAAAGGGUUUGUAGGCGGCCUUGUAAGUGGGGUGUGAAAUCCCUCGGCUCAACCGAGGAAUAGCGCUCCAAACUACAUGGCUUGAGGGAGACAGGGGUAAGCGGAACUGAUGGUGGAGCGGUGAAAUGCGUUGAUAUCAUCAGGAACACCGGUGGCGAAAGCGGCUUACUGGGUCUCUUCUGACGCUGAGAAACGAAAGCUAGGGUAGCGAACGGG
RNAcentral lists this ribosomal RNA (253 nucleotides) under uncultured bacterium. Its description in RNAcentral is "partial 16S ribosomal RNA". It matches the Rfam family "Bacterial small subunit ribosomal RNA", at positions 524 to 776 of the family's 1533-position model. The record is from RNAcentral.